GUGAAAAUUAAGGAACGUGUGAAAUUACAUAUUUGCCCUGGGCCUUCUCCUCUCAACGCGUGAGUCGCCACCGCGAGCCUGCGACAGAAGAAAGAGGCGGAAACGCCGCCACCCCCAACGCCGGAAACGCCGGCCGCUACGCCAGCCGCCGGGGCUCACCUCCAAGAUGCCGCCGCCACCCGUACUCGCUGGAACCGUCGCCGCCACCCCUCUUUGCCGGAGCCGCCGGCGCUCUCUCCCGACGCCGCUACUCAUAAUUGGGCACCCCAGGCCUGAGACCCAGUAGAAUCUUUGGACAAAAUUUUACAACACUCAUAGUUCAGGCACGCUGCAGCUGCUGCAUCUGCCAAAUUGUGCUUAUCCUGUGCAAGAAAUAGCUAUAGAUUGACUCGGCCGGGCAGCAGUACACUAGUUUAUCAAAUUUCAACGUCCAAUCUUCUGGGAAAAGAAGAUUCAGACCAUCAUCUGCCAGAAGAAGUGCAUUCAUCAUCUAAUACAACAGGACAGUAACUCCUGAGCUAUG
Oryza sativa Japonica Group (Japanese rice) is the source of this 523-nucleotide long non-coding RNA. RefSeq lists it as uncharacterized. The record is from RefSeq and is a predicted model, not a curated record. Lineage: Eukaryota; Viridiplantae; Streptophyta; Magnoliopsida; Poales; Poaceae.